Molecule: ribosomal RNA, 79 nt
Filed under: Flavobacteriales bacterium
Lineage: Bacteria; Pseudomonadati; Bacteroidota; Flavobacteriia; Flavobacteriales
Description: partial 16S ribosomal RNA
Rfam family: Bacterial small subunit ribosomal RNA
Source: RNAcentral
ACAAUGGAGAGUUUGAUCCUGGCUCAGGAUGAACGCUAGCGGCAGGCUUAACACAUGCAAGUCGAGGGGCAGCACGAUG